UCUCUCCCGACGGAUGGAAUGACU
This 24-nucleotide non-coding RNA is filed under the name Arabidopsis thaliana (thale cress). Lineage: Eukaryota; Viridiplantae; Streptophyta; Magnoliopsida; Brassicales; Brassicaceae. The record is from RNAcentral.